GCCGAAGUGGUGGAAUUGGUAGACACGCUAUCUUGAGGGGGUAGUGGACGACGUCCGUGCCGGUUCAAAUCCGGCCUUCGGCA
This 83-nucleotide transfer RNA is filed under the name Candidatus Magnetomorum sp. Its description in RNAcentral is "tRNA-Leu". It matches the Rfam family "tRNA". Rfam says of the family: Transfer RNA (tRNA) molecules are approximately 80 nucleotides in length. Their secondary structure includes four short double-helical elements and three loops (D, anti-codon, and T loops). Further hydrogen bonds mediate the characteristic L-shaped molecular structure. tRNAs have two regions of fundamental functional importance: the anti-codon, which is responsible for specific mRNA codon recognition, and the 3' end, to which the tRNAs corresponding amino acid is attached (by aminoacyl-tRNA synthetases). tRNAs cope with the degeneracy of the genetic code in two manners: having more than one tRNA (with a specific anti-codon) for a particular amino acid; and 'wobble' base-pairing, i.e. permitting non-standard base-pairing at the 3rd anti-codon position. The record is from RNAcentral. Lineage: Bacteria; Pseudomonadati; Thermodesulfobacteriota; Desulfobacteria; Desulfobacterales; Candidatus Magnetomoraceae.